CUCUGUCUUUGCCUAUGGGGAUUCGAG
This 27-nucleotide non-coding RNA is filed under the name Homo sapiens (human). The record is from RNAcentral. Lineage: Eukaryota; Metazoa; Chordata; Mammalia; Primates; Hominidae.